Molecule: long non-coding RNA, 1655 nt
Organism: Hyaena hyaena (striped hyena)
Lineage: Eukaryota; Metazoa; Chordata; Mammalia; Carnivora; Hyaenidae
Exons: 3
Source: RefSeq, a predicted model, not a curated record
UGUCUCUCUCUCUCUCAAAUAAAUAAGCUUAAAAAAAAAAGAUUACACUUCUGAGAGAAACUGAAACCUGUUAUGUUAGUAUCUUGGCUUGGUGACAUGAGCUUACCACCAAGUGACUCCAUUUGGGCCUGUUUUCUCUUUUUAACAAUACCUUAUGAUUCCAUUUAUAUGUCACUCUGAAAAUGUCAAAAUUAUAGAGACAGAGUACAGACUGGUGAAGAGGAGUGAUUGCCCAGGUUAGGGAUGGGGUGGGGAGGACGGGCCACCCAAGAGGGUCUUGGGUGAUACAAGUGCUAUGUCCUGUCAGUGUCAAUGUCCUGGUGUGACAUCAUCCUGUAGUUCUGAAUGAUGUCACCCUCUGGGGAAAUUGGGUGAUGGGUGCUCAAGAGAUCUCUGUAUUGUUUCAUACAACUUCAUGUGAAUGUAGUUUUCUUUAAUGAGAUGUGGUAUAACUGUAGGUGUCUUACACACCUCAGCCUGCCCACGUCCACGUGUCUGCUUACCUCAUAGACAUUCCAAUUCCUGAACUCUUCUAAAUGACAAUUAAAUGACCCCAAUGAUUAAUUCACCACUUAAAAGUUACUAGCUGCUGUUUUGUCAAAAAAUUUAUCAUUUUUACUCAUUUCCCUUGUACAUGUUACCAAGGGCACACAGGCAAAAGCUCUGUCUAACCUUUUUUAGUUCUAUCUAAGCAACAUUUAUGGUAGGAAAUGGGGAUUCUGAGAUGGUUUUGCUGAAGCAUGAAUGACACAAUAAGGAGAAGACGUAGAUGAUGCCGUGGGCAACGAGACUCAGAGGCUGGGAGACGGUGCCCCCAGAGCAAUGGCAGUAAAUGAGAUAUUUCAAGUAGGCAAGAUUGCUUCACUGACAGUGUCUAUAGUUUGCAAGCCGGUGCAACCAGGGAAGGAUUGAGCAGUGAGCAAUGAAGAAUAAGACCCCCGUGUGCAAGCGAGAAGGACCACGGCGUAAAUGCUGUCUUCUACUUCAUCUUUCCCAGAAGCACAAAGACCCAAGUCAAAAGCAAGUGCACAGCCAGUGCACUGAGCAAGCCAGCUCUGCAGCUGAACAGGCCGUAGGUGCUCCCGAAUAUGGUGGAGAAGACCCUGUGUGGUGUGAGGCCAUCCUGCAUCCGCUGGCUUCCACACUACCCUCUAACUGACCACACAUACAGGGACCAACCAAGCCGGCCCAGACCAGACGGCCAGCCCAGAUUACUCAGUAAUCAGGAAAUGUGCAAAAAUGUGAAUUGUGCCUGAGACAGCCUUCUUCAGCAGUGCUCUGGAAGACAAGACACCCGGAAUUCUCUUUAAAGACCACCCUUCCGUAAGACAGUGGCCCUGGGGUGUGUAGAUCAUUCCUCCAUGGGUCACACCUGAAAUGCAAAUUUCUGACUCUACAGUAUCAAUUCUACGUUAAUGAGCUGGAGAGAGUAAGAUUCCAAGCCUUUCAAGUAUAUAUGAAAUGCAUUGCAAUUGUAUACUCGUUGCAAUAAAGAUGCCCUGAUUUAAAAUAAUAAAGUCCACCUCUCCUUGCCCAACACCCAGGGAAGGAGAGGAAGGGAGCUGCUGACCCAGGAGCGAGCGUUCAGCCACCCAACAGCCAAUCCUUCCUGGCCUCUUGGGUUCAAAUCUCCCAUCCUUUGCCUGCCACAUGGU